GGAUGAACGCUGGCGGCGUGCCUAAUACAUGCAAGUCGAACGAGUUCUGAUUAUUGAAAGGUGCUUGCAUCUUGAUUUAAUUUUGAACGAGUGGCGGACGGGUGAGUAACACGUGGGUAACCUGCCCUUAAGUGGGGGAUAACAUUUGGAAACAGAUGCUAAUACCGCAUAAAUCCAAGAACCGCAUGGUUCUUGGCUGAAAGAUGGCGUAAGCUAUCGCUUUUGGAUGGACCCGCGGCGUAUUAGCUAGUUGGUGAGGUAACGGCUCACCAAGGCAAUGAUACGUAGCCGAACUGAGAGGUUGAUCGGCCACAUUGGGACUGAGACACGGCCCAAACUCCUACGGGAGGCAGCAGUAGGGAAUCUUCCACAAUGGACGCAAGUCUGAUGGAGCAACGCCGCGUGAGUGAAGAAGGCUUUCGGGUCGUAAAACUCUGUUGUUGGAGAAGAAUGGUCGGCAGAGUAACUGUUGUCGGCGUGACGGUAUCCAACCAGAAAGCCACGGCUAACUACGUGCCAGCAGCCGCGGUAAUACGUAGGUGGCAAGCGUUAUCCGGAUUUAUUGGGCGUAAAGCGAGCGCAGGCGGUUUUUUAAGUCUGAUGUGAAAGCCCUCGGCUUAACCGAGGAAGUGCAUCGGAAACUGGGAAACUUGAGUGCAGAAGAGGACAGUGGAACUCCAUGUGUAGCGGUGAAAUGCGUAGAUAUAUGGAAGAACACCAGUGGCGAAGGCGGCUGUCUGGUCUGUAACUGACGCUGAGGCUCGAAAGCAUGGGUAGCCGACAGGAUUAGAUACCCUGGUAGUCCAUGCCGUAAACGAUGAAUGCUAGGUGUUGGAGGGUUUCCGCCCUUCAGUGCCGCAGCUAACGCAUUAAGCAUUCCGCCUGGGGAGUACGACCGCAAGGUUGAAACUCAAAGGAAUUGACGGGGGCCCGCACAAGCGGUGGAGCAUGUGGUUUAAUUCGAAGCAACGCGAAGAACCUUACCAGGUCUUGACAUCUUUUGAUCACCUGAGAGAUCAGGUUUCCCCUUCGGGGGCAAAAUGACAGGUGGUGCAUGGUUGUCGUCAGCUCGUGUCGUGAGAUGUUGGGUUAAGUCCCGCAACGAGCGCAACCCUUAUGACUAGUUGCCAGCAUUUAGUUGGGCACUCUAGUAAGACUGCCGGUGACAAACCGGAGGAAGGUGGGGAUGACGUCAAAUCAUCAUGCCCCUUAUGACCUGGGCUACACACGUGCUACAAUGGAUGGUACAACGAGUUGCGAGACCGCGAGGUCAAGCUAAUCUCUUAAAGCCAUUCUCAGUUCGGACUGUAGGCUGCAACUCGCCUACACGAAGUCGGAAUCGCUAGUAAUCGCGGAUCAGCACGCCGCGGUGAAUACGUUCCCGGGCCUUGUACACACCGCCCGUCACACCAUGAGAGUUUGUAACACCCGAAGCCGGUGGCGUAACCCUUUUAGGGAGCGAGCCGUCUAAGGUGGGACAAAUGA
This 1485-nucleotide ribosomal RNA is filed under the name uncultured organism. RNAcentral describes it as "16S ribosomal RNA". It matches the Rfam family "Bacterial small subunit ribosomal RNA". The record is from RNAcentral.